UGAGUAAGUAUGUUUUACAUGUUUAGUGUAAAAUUAAUUGAAAAUUGCGAAACAAAACCCUAAUUUUUUGGUAUUUUUUCUUUUUGAUGAUGCUUCAGGAAAAAAAUUGAAAAUACUGGAGUUCCAGAACAAUCAAAUGAACAAGAGAAGGAAACUUCAAAAAUAGAUGAUGCAUCAACAAAUCAAGGAAAAAAAAACAACUGAAGAGGAAGCAAAAACUGAUCACCUACAACAAGAAAAGGCUGGAUCAGAAUUAGUGAAUACAGGGUAUUUGAUUCCCAUAAUGUUCAUUUUCAUAUUACUUAAUAAACAUUUUUAAUUAUUUGAAAUUAAUUGAUUUUCAGAAAUCAAUCACCUAAGAAAGACACAAGAGAGGUUGAACAACUACAACCAAAAAAGGAUGCAGCAGGGUAUUUUCAGAAAUCAACUAAUGUUCAUUUUCAUAUUAGUUGAUAAACAUUUUUAAUCAUUUUCAAUUUUUAAUUUUCAGAAAUGAAUCAACUGAAGAUGAG
Molecule: long non-coding RNA, 512 nt
Organism: Chenopodium quinoa (quinoa)
Lineage: Eukaryota; Viridiplantae; Streptophyta; Magnoliopsida; Caryophyllales; Amaranthaceae
Exons: 3
Source: RefSeq, a predicted model, not a curated record